GACGAACGCUGGCGGCGUGCCUAAUACAUGCAAGUUGAGCGAUGAAGAUUGGUGCUUGCACCAAUUUGAAGAGCAGCGAACGGGUGAGUAACGCGUGGGGAAUCUGCCUUUGAGCGGGGGACAACAUUUGGAAACGAAUGCUAAUACCGCAUAACAACUUUAAACAUAAGUUUUAAGUUUGAAAGAUGCAAUUGCAUCACUCAAAGAUGAUCCCGCGUUGUAUUAGCUAGUUGGUGAGGUAAAGGCUCACCAAGGCGAUGAUACAUAGCCGACCUGAGAGGGUGAUCGGCCCCAUUGGGACUGAGACACGGCCCAAACUCCUAAGGGAGGCAGCAGUAGGGAAUCUUCGGCAAUGGACGAAAGUCUGACCGAGCAACGCCGCGUGAGUGAAGAAGGUUUUCGGAUCGUAAAACUCUGUUGGUAGAGAAGAACGUUGGUGAGAGUGGAAAGCUCAUAAAGUGACGGUAACUACCCAGAAAGGGACGGCUAACUACGUG
This 497-nucleotide ribosomal RNA is filed under the name uncultured bacterium. RNAcentral describes it as "partial 16S ribosomal RNA". It matches the Rfam family "Bacterial small subunit ribosomal RNA", at positions 28 to 507 of the family's 1533-position model. The record is from RNAcentral.